RNAcentral lists this ribosomal RNA (254 nucleotides) under uncultured bacterium. RNAcentral's name for it is "partial 16S ribosomal RNA". It matches the Rfam family "Bacterial small subunit ribosomal RNA", at positions 524 to 776 of the family's 1533-position model. The record is from RNAcentral.
CACGUAGGCACCAAGCGUUGUCCGGAUUUAUUGGGCGUAAAGAGCUCGUAGGCGGUUCAGUAAGUCGGGUGUGAAAUCUCCAGGCUCAACCUGGAGGGGUCAUUCGAUACUGCCGUGACUAGAGUUCGGUAGAGGAGUGUGGAAUUCCUGGUGGAGCGGUGAAAUGCGCAGAGAUCAGGAGGAACACCCGUAGCGAAGGCGGCACUCUGGGCCGAUACUGACACUGAGGAGCGAAAGCGUGGGGAGCGAACAGG